GGAAUUGACGGGGAGCACCACAACGGGUGGAGCUUGCGGUUUAAUUGGAUUCAACGCCGGAAAUCUUACCGGGACCGACAGCAAUAUGAAGGCCAGGCUGAAGACUUUGCCGGAUUAGCUGAGAGGUGGUGCAUGGCCGUCGUCAGUUCGUACUGUGAAGCAUCCUGUUAAGUCAGGCAACGAGCGAGACCCACGCCCACAGUUGCCAGCGUACUCUCUGGAGUGACGGGUACACUGUGGGGACCGCCGCUGCUAAAGCGGAGGAAGGAAUGGGCAACGGUAGGUCAGUAUGCCCCGAAUAUCCCGGGCUACACGCGAGCUACAAUGGUUGGUACAAUGGGUAUCUACCCCGAAAGGGGACGGGAAUCUCCUAAAACCAAUCUUAGUUCGGAUUGAGGGCUGCAACUCGCCCUCAUGAAGCUGGAAUCCGUAGUAAUCGCGUUUCAACAGAACGCGGUGAAUACGUCCCUGCUCCUU
This 477-nucleotide ribosomal RNA is filed under the name uncultured Methanosaeta sp. RNAcentral's name for it is "bacterial SSU rRNA". It matches the Rfam family "Archaeal small subunit ribosomal RNA", at positions 861 to 1338 of the family's 1478-position model. Lineage: Archaea; Methanobacteriati; Methanobacteriota; Methanomicrobia; Methanotrichales; Methanotrichaceae. The record is from RNAcentral.